GGGUGACUAGUCUAGUGGUCAGGACGUUUCGUUGUGGUGUCUCUCCGAAGAAACCCCGGUUCGAUUCCGGGGUCGCCCA
Chaetomium fimeti is the source of this 79-nucleotide non-coding RNA. The record is from the annotation of a RefSeq genome assembly. Lineage: Eukaryota; Fungi; Ascomycota; Sordariomycetes; Sordariales; Chaetomiaceae.